This 45-nucleotide non-coding RNA is filed under the name Paramuricea clavata. It matches the Rfam family "Histone 3' UTR stem-loop". From Rfam's summary of the family: The mRNAs of metazoan histone genes lack a poly-A tail. 3' end processing occurs at a site between a highly conserved stem-loop (modelled by this family) and a purine rich region around 20 nts downstream (the histone downstream element, or HDE). The stem-loop is bound by a 31 kDa stem-loop binding protein (SLBP - also termed the histone hairpin binding protein, or HBP). The record is from RNAcentral. Lineage: Eukaryota; Metazoa; Cnidaria; Anthozoa; Malacalcyonacea; Plexauridae.
AAAACGGUUCCUUUAGGAACCAACAAAUAUGUAAAAGAAUUCAAA